GAUGAACGCUGGCGGUGUGCCUAAUACAUGCAAGUCGAGCGAACAGACGAGGAGCUUACUCCUCUGACGUUAGCGGCGGACGGGUGAGUAACACGUGGAUAACCUACCUAUAAGACUGGGAUAACUUCGGGAAACCGGAGCUAAUACCGGAUAACAUGUUGAACCGCAUGGUUCAACAGUGAAAGACGGUCUUGCUGUCACUUAUAGAUGGAUCCGCGUCGCAUUAGCUAGUUGGUAAGGUAACGGCUUACCAAGGCAACGAUGCGUAGCCGACCUGAGAGGGUGAUCGGCCACGCUGGAACUGAGACACGGUCCAGACUCCUACGGGAGGCAGCAGUAGGGAAUCUUCCGCAAUGGGCGAAAGCCUGACGGAGCAACGCCGCGUGAGUGAAGAAGGUCUUCGGAUCGUAAAACUCUGUUAUUAGGGAAGAACAAAUGUGUAAGUAACUAUGCACGUCUUGACGGUACCUAAUCAGAAAGCCACGGCUAACUACGUG
RNAcentral lists this ribosomal RNA (497 nucleotides) under uncultured bacterium. RNAcentral's name for it is "partial 16S ribosomal RNA". It matches the Rfam family "Bacterial small subunit ribosomal RNA", at positions 28 to 507 of the family's 1533-position model. The record is from RNAcentral.